Molecule: long non-coding RNA, 173 nt
Organism: Etheostoma spectabile (orangethroat darter)
Lineage: Eukaryota; Metazoa; Chordata; Actinopteri; Perciformes; Percidae
Exons: 3
Source: RefSeq, a predicted model, not a curated record
CUGUCGGGGCUAAAAAUAGAAAAAAGAUGAAAAAGGAGAUGGCAAGGGAUGCGACCGCAGUUGAAUAAGUGGAUGGUGAAAGGCAACAGGUGUGAGGAUGGUGGAUCAGGAAAGACAAGGGAAGGCAGUGGAGAAGAACACAGGCAAGGAGUGAAAGAGACAGACAUUAGGUC